RNAcentral lists this long non-coding RNA (283 nucleotides) under Lathyrus oleraceus (garden pea). Its description in RNAcentral is "Pisum sativum (pea) long non-coding RNA (PSAT_LNC003169)". The record is from RNAcentral. Lineage: Eukaryota; Viridiplantae; Streptophyta; Magnoliopsida; Fabales; Fabaceae.
AGAACAAAAGUAAGAAGGAAAAGGAGAAGAAAAGAGACAAAGAGGGAGAGAAGAAGCCAAUAGCUCUUGUGGCCUCUAGCUCUAAGUCCUCACGAAAAGAGCAAAGCGACAAUGAUUCAAGUAGUGACAAAGAUUCGGAUGAUGAGGAAAUGGGACUGUUUGUAAGGAGAUAUAAUAGAUUCAUUCGAAAGAACGGAGUCAAGCAUUCCGACAAAAAUCUCAUGAAGUUUCGAAGACAAUCUACAGAUUCAAAACAGGAAGAGAAUAAGAAGAGUAGAGGAAG